RNAcentral lists this unclassified non-coding RNA (253 nucleotides) under uncultured Pseudobdellovibrionaceae bacterium. Its description in RNAcentral is "uncultured Bdellovibrionaceae bacterium contains 16S-23S intergenic spacer region". It matches the Rfam family "Bacterial small subunit ribosomal RNA", at positions 524 to 776 of the family's 1533-position model. Lineage: Bacteria; Pseudomonadati; Bdellovibrionota; Bdellovibrionia; Bdellovibrionales; Pseudobdellovibrionaceae. The record is from RNAcentral.
UACGGAGGGUGCAAGCGUUGCUCGGAAUCACUGGGCGUAAAGCGUACGCAGGCGGCCUAUUAAGUCGGGGGUGAAAGCCCGGAGCUCAACUCCGGAAUUGCGCCCGAUACUGGUAGGCUUGAAUACGGGAGAGGGAAGCGGAAUUCCUGGUGUAGAGGUGAAAUUCGUAGAUAUCAGGAGGAACACCAGUGGCGUAAGCGGCUUCCUGGCCCGAUAUUGACGCUCAGGUACGAAAGCGUGGGUAGCAAACAGG